AUUGAACGCUGGCGGCAUGCUUUACACAUGCAAGUCGAACGGUAACAGGCCUUCGGGUGCUGACGAGUGGCGAACGGGUGAGUAAUGCAUCGGAACGUGCCCAAUCGUGGGGGAUAACGUAGCGAAAGUUACGCUAAUACCGCAUAAGCCCUGAGGGGGAAAGCAGGGGAUCGCAAGACCUUGCGCGAAUGGAGCGGCCGAUGUCAGAUUAGCUAGUUGGUGGGGUAAAGGCCUACCAAGGCGACGAUCUGUAGCGGGUCUGAGAGGAUGAUCCGCCACACUGGGACUGAGACACGGCCCAGACUCCUACGGGAGGCAGCAGUGGGGAAUUUUGGACAAUGGGCGCAAGCCUGAUCCAGCCAUGCCGCGUGCGGGACG
RNAcentral lists this ribosomal RNA (378 nucleotides) under uncultured bacterium. RNAcentral's name for it is "bacterial SSU rRNA". It matches the Rfam family "Bacterial small subunit ribosomal RNA", at positions 29 to 410 of the family's 1533-position model. The record is from RNAcentral.